Molecule: long non-coding RNA, 875 nt
Organism: Puntigrus tetrazona (Sumatra barb)
Lineage: Eukaryota; Metazoa; Chordata; Actinopteri; Cypriniformes; Cyprinidae
Exons: 2
Source: RefSeq, a predicted model, not a curated record
AUAUAGUGCUUGAUACAGGCUCUCACGUCCUCCAUAACACUGCAUUCUCAUUGGCCGGUCAGCGAAAGACGUGUUGCCAAAUCACUGUAUAAAAGUGCCUUACUCUAGUGGUUUACACACACACCAGCUGUACCUAAGAACCGAAUGAGACAAGACACAAAAAACUACUGAAAUUAUUAAGUGGUAACAGCUUUCCAUCUUCAUAGGACUGAAAAUGGGAAAUGAUAACUCGGGUGAAGACAGAGAACGUAAAAGAGCUGAAGCAGCUGAGGCCGCGCGAUGGAUACUGCAGCAACAGUAUAAAAGAGCUCAAGAAGAAGCAGAAAUGCAGAGAGUGAGAGCGCAACAAAGAGCAGCAGAGGAGCGAUGCAAAAUGCUAGAAGAAAAACAAGCUCUCCAGGAGCAGUGCCAAAGAAUUGAACAAGAAAGAAAUAUACAGAGAAUGAAAGAGGAAGAGAAGAGAAGAAUCUACAAUGAGAACAGAUUUAAAGAGCAAGAGGAAAGGAAAAGAAUUCACAUAGAGAAGCAAAAUUCACAAAAAGAAAACACGACAAGUUAGAUAAACCGUUUCUGUGGUCUGUUAACAGGAGGCAUUUUUUCAUGAUAUAUGCACAUUGUAAACCACGUUUUGUUUUAUAAAAUAAAAAAUCUACAUUUUAUUUACACCUCCAAAGAAGAGUAUGCUUAUUUUUACAUGUCUUUUGAAUUUAGUUUGACAGGCAUGAGAAAAUACCAGAUGUGUUCGGCUAUUAUUCUAGGAAUUUAUCUUGACACGCAGUUAAAUCAUAAACAAUAAAUAUAAACUAUGAUUGCAUAACCAUUUGAUUGUUUGUCAAUGUAUGAACAUAUAAAUAAAAAAAUGCAACUUUUUUUAA